UACGUAGGGCGCAAGCGUUGUCCGGAAUUAUUGGGCGUAAAGAGCUCGUAGGCGGCUUGUCACGUCGGGUGUGAAAGCCCGGGGCUUAACCCCGGGUCUGCAUUCGAUACGGGCUAGCUAGAGUGUGGUAGGGGAGAUCGGAAUUCCGGGUGUAGUGGUGAAAUGCGUAGAUAUCCGGAGGAACACCAGUGGCGAAGGCGACUUUCUGGCCUGUUCUUGACGCUGAGGCGCGAAAGCCAGGGGAGCAAACGGG
This 253-nucleotide ribosomal RNA is filed under the name uncultured bacterium. Its description in RNAcentral is "partial 16S ribosomal RNA". It matches the Rfam family "Bacterial small subunit ribosomal RNA", at positions 524 to 776 of the family's 1533-position model. The record is from RNAcentral.